GAUGAAGAACGCAGCGAAAUGCGAUACUUGGUGUGAAUUGCAGAUUCCCGUGAACCAUCGAGUCUUUGAACGCAAGUUGCGCCCGAAGCCAUUAGGCCGAGGGCACGCCUGCCUGGGCGUCACACGUCGUUGCCCCCCCAUCUACUCCUUCGGGAUUGCGGGGGGCGGAUGAUGGCCUCCCGUGCGCCUCGUCGCGCGGUUGGCAUAAAUGCCAAGUCCUCGGCGACGCACGCCACGACAAUCGGUGGUUGCGAAACCUCGGUUGCCCGUCGUGUGCGGUCGUCGCGCAUCGAGGGCUCGAAAAAAUUGCCGGGCUCCGGCUCGGCUUUCAACGCGACCCCAGGUCAGGCGGGGUUACCCGCUGAAUUUAAGCAUAUCAAUAAGCGGAGGA
This 391-nucleotide unclassified non-coding RNA is filed under the name soil metagenome. RNAcentral describes it as "partial contains 5.8S ribosomal RNA, internal transcribed spacer 2, and large subunit ribosomal RNA". The stretch from base 1 to 122 matches the Rfam family "5.8S ribosomal RNA", at positions 35 to 154 of the family's 154-position model. The record is from RNAcentral.